This is a long non-coding RNA of Ruditapes philippinarum (Manila clam), 627 nucleotides long. RefSeq lists it as uncharacterized. The record is from RefSeq and is a predicted model, not a curated record. The transcript has 3 exons. Lineage: Eukaryota; Metazoa; Mollusca; Bivalvia; Venerida; Veneridae.
UGUUUUAGAUUUACUCCGCAACCGAUGGUGAAACAGAAAUUGGGAAAAUUCAGAAGCAAUGGACCAAUCUUCUUCAAGAAAUGUUCACGUCGGCAGAUAAUUUUUGUGUAACGUUUCCCAUGGAAUUAGAUGUCAAAAUGAAAGCCGUGAUCAUUGGCGCAACAAUUCUUAUUGACUUUAUGUACUUUGAAGGACAUGCAAACAGAAAUCGCCACUACUACUAAUCGUGCAAGAGCACAGGACAGAGUAGAACAGCACAGAACAGCACUACUCAUUACUACACAUGGCAGAAAGAAAAGAAAACGUAAACCUGCACCUAAUCAUAGAAGACACAGCACUACAACUUAUUAUACAAGGAUAUCAAUACAACAAAUAAUCAUACACGAACAUGUCAGAAGACAUCCGCAAAUCAAACAAUCAUACAUGAACGCAGACAGAAGACAUCAGCAAAACAAAUAAUGAGCGCUAAAACAAAAACAAAAAAAAACAAACAAAAAAACAACUACAAAUAAUCAUACAAGUGCCCAGAACGAAUACGCUCUAAAUAAUCAUAUAAAUUACAAAAAAGAAGUCAAUAACAUUACUUCUUGUAACACUACCAUAGAUCAUACUAUUUUAUAAUAUUAA